This is a long non-coding RNA of Monodelphis domestica (gray short-tailed opossum), 1134 nucleotides long. RefSeq lists it as uncharacterized. Lineage: Eukaryota; Metazoa; Chordata; Mammalia; Didelphimorphia; Didelphidae. The record is from RefSeq and is a predicted model, not a curated record.
AAAUAGACUCUAAUACAGGACUACAAUCCCCACAAGCCUUUGCUCCACUUCCCCAAAAUGCUUUGUAAUCUCACGGGAAUUCUGAGGUGGGCUGAGAUCGAGAAAGGAUUUAAGCUGGUGGCAAAGAUUUUUGGGUCUCUUUUGGACUUCCGUUUUGGAGCAGAGGCGUCUCUUCCAUGAUGUUGUAAGCUCUUUUUUAGAAAGGAUUUUUUUCUUCGCAUUUGUGCCUGAUGAUGAAACUGGGACAAACAAGAUUAGGUGACUGGCCCAGGAUCAUAUAGCUGGUAAAUCUACUGUGAAUGUUAUGAGCCAAGCCCAGAUCACCGACUUCAAACAGAAUCACGGCUACCUGUAGAGAGUUCUGCUGGCAGACAGGCUUUUACUAAAGCCAACAGAGCAGAGGUGAGGAUAAAAAAAAAAAGCUUAAUUAACAUUUUAGAUGUGUUACUGGUUGGGCGAUUUAAGGUAGCUUAUUAAACUUUCCCUGUUGUCUACAGAAGGCUAUGCAUUUUUUUCUCUUCUAUUUUCCAGAUGUAAUCAAUGUGAUUCUAAUAGCUGAACACAUUAGCAUGAGGAGGUUUUGAUAUGCAUGACCUAAGUUCCUUUUCUAUCAGCACACAUCAAUCAGUUAACUUGCUUCAAGAUAUUAAACUCUUUCCCUUUUACCAAAACAACGUCACAAAAAAACAAUAACAACAACAAGAAAAAAAACAAGAAAAGAAGUCCCAUCAAAUCUUUAUUCUUCUUUCAGAAUACAUAUUGUCUGAUGGCAGAGGGGCAGGUGCCACCCCAGGGUCACAUGUUUCCAUUCAUUCAAUAGGCAUUUAGUAAUCAUCUAUUAUGGCCAAGACCCAGAGUAGAUGCUAAGGCUACAAAAAUAAAAACAACAAUUCCAGAUCUCAACGAAAUUAUUGUCUAUUUGGAGAGAAUCAGUAAGUAUGCAGAGAGGCAAACACAAAAUAAUUUCAAACAGGUUACAGCCCUAGAAACUUUGGGGAUCAGCUUGGGAUUCCUCUAGGAAGUGGUAGCUGAUCUAAAAACUGAAAGAAACUAGGGAUUUUAAAAGACCUAUUAAACAUUUAAGGAGAUGGGAGAUGGAAUACUAAAUCUGUAAUUAACAAUAAUUAAUUAAGC